UCCAGGAAAUUGUUAAUUUUUUAUUUCAAUUGCUUUUAUGUUGUAGAUAUCUAGCUGAACUCAAUAUAUUUUCUUUUUGUCUUUCUCUCUCUCUCUCUCUGUAGAAGUUGGAGUAACAGUUGCAGUUGUGAAUCAAUCCAAUCUUCGAAAAAUGGCUCAGAUAACCACCUUUGAUGACAUUCUAGGAAUUCACGAUCUGGAUGUGCAGGGAGCACAGAUCCGUGGCCUGAGAGAUAGGCUUGGACUCGAAAGCGUCGAAAUCCAUACCAAAAGGAAAGUAAGCUUUCAGCACGACCCAAAUAUACCAGUCUCAAAAAUAGUAAAUGCUCUGGAACGUCUGGGCUUGAAGACGGAGUCCUGGACAACUUCCAAGUUAUAACCGUACUUUGAAAUGGCCACCUGUUAGGCAUGGUAGCUGUGAAUGAGAGGAUUAGGUUGUUUAUAAUAGUUUAUAUUGAUGUCUGCCAUCUCUCUGGUGUACGUUUUACUAUUGUUAUAUGUUCUAUUGGUUUAGAGACUUCAAAGACUCCAAACGGUGAAAUAUUUGAAAGACUAAAGAGUUCAAAUACUAGGUACCACCAAAACACUGUUUUUGAGCUUAAAUACAGGUGAUUGAAAUAGAAAUUAUCUCGGUGGCAUUGGAUGCAGUUGUUA
Cryptomeria japonica (Japanese cedar) is the source of this 654-nucleotide long non-coding RNA. RefSeq lists it as uncharacterized. Lineage: Eukaryota; Viridiplantae; Streptophyta; Pinopsida; Cupressales; Cupressaceae. The record is from RefSeq and is a predicted model, not a curated record. The transcript is spliced from 3 exons.